CGCUGAGAAGCUAUGAAACAGCGCUAGCCUUUUAAGCUAGAGAUAGAGGGUGUCUUCCCUCCCCAGUGA
RNAcentral lists this transfer RNA (69 nucleotides) under Henicorhina leucosticta. RNAcentral describes it as "tRNA-Lys". It matches the Rfam family "tRNA". Rfam says of the family: Transfer RNA (tRNA) molecules are approximately 80 nucleotides in length. Their secondary structure includes four short double-helical elements and three loops (D, anti-codon, and T loops). Further hydrogen bonds mediate the characteristic L-shaped molecular structure. tRNAs have two regions of fundamental functional importance: the anti-codon, which is responsible for specific mRNA codon recognition, and the 3' end, to which the tRNAs corresponding amino acid is attached (by aminoacyl-tRNA synthetases). tRNAs cope with the degeneracy of the genetic code in two manners: having more than one tRNA (with a specific anti-codon) for a particular amino acid; and 'wobble' base-pairing, i.e. permitting non-standard base-pairing at the 3rd anti-codon position. Lineage: Eukaryota; Metazoa; Chordata; Aves; Passeriformes; Certhiidae. The record is from RNAcentral.